GGGGCCGUAGCUCAGCUGGGAGAGCGCUACAAUGGCAUUGUAGAGGUCUGGGGUUCGAUCCCCCACGGCUCCACCA
This 76-nucleotide transfer RNA is filed under the name Rhodospirillales bacterium. RNAcentral describes it as "tRNA-Ala". It matches the Rfam family "tRNA". Rfam says of the family: Transfer RNA (tRNA) molecules are approximately 80 nucleotides in length. Their secondary structure includes four short double-helical elements and three loops (D, anti-codon, and T loops). Lineage: Bacteria; Pseudomonadati; Pseudomonadota; Alphaproteobacteria; Rhodospirillales. The record is from RNAcentral.